GUAGGGUGCAAGCGUUAAUCGGAAUUACUGGGCGUAAAGCGUGCGCAGGCGGUAAUGUAAGACAGUUGUGAAAUCCCCGGGCUCAACCUGGGAACUGCAUCUGUGACUGCAUUGCUGGAGUACGGCAGAGGGGGAUGGAAUUCCGCGUGUAGCAGUGAAAUGCGUAGAUAUGCGGAGGAACACCGAUGGCGAAGGCAAUCCCCUGGGCCUGUACUGACGCUCAUGCACGAAAGCGUGGGGAGCAAACAGGAUUAGAUACCCUGGUAGUCCACGCCCUAAACGAUGUCAACUGGUUGUUGGGUCUUCACUGACUCAGUAACGAAGCUAACGCGUGAAGUUGACCGCCUGGGGAGUACGGCCGCAAGGUUG
Molecule: ribosomal RNA, 369 nt
Filed under: uncultured bacterium
Lineage: Bacteria
Description: bacterial SSU rRNA
Rfam family: Bacterial small subunit ribosomal RNA
Source: RNAcentral